CAUGUACCACCUCAAGGCAGCUCCAGUUAAACUGUCUUGGAAAUAAUGAAUCAACAGCUGAUCAUUAUCAUUUUGAGUAGAAAUUUUCCUGGCAUACAUAAUAAGAUGGCUUAACGGGAAAGUAUUCCCUUUGUAUUUUUCAAAGUCCGGGACCUUGAAUUUCACCGGAAUCUUGACAUUAAGGACUAAGCAGAGUUCAGCAACACUCUUCCCAAACAAAUCUUUCCUCUCAGAGCCUUCAACUCUUUCCGCAACUCAAGGAAAUGAUCUUUCAUUUCAUCCA
This 283-nucleotide long non-coding RNA is filed under the name Lathyrus oleraceus (garden pea). Its description in RNAcentral is "Pisum sativum (pea) long non-coding RNA (PSAT_LNC001752)". Lineage: Eukaryota; Viridiplantae; Streptophyta; Magnoliopsida; Fabales; Fabaceae. The record is from RNAcentral.